AUCGGGAGCCGGCCGAACUGUGCGGUUGCUGGUGACGCGACACCGUCCGGAAGUGUAUCGGCGACGGGGGCGGCCGGUACACCAUAACGGGAGCGCGAGUCUUUUCCGGCCCGCCGCCGGAACGGUUCGGCCGGACGGGAGGAAAAGAGCACCCGAUUUUCGGGAUAACCGCCGGACCGGCGCGACGACGACGACGACGUUACACGGACGCACGGCACCGUAAAAAACACCCGGGGGUAUUACUGGCGGGUACACGACUCUGGGUACACGGAGCGGAUCGAACGCGGUAACGGACGCGCGCACUGCAAACUGCUGCCGGACGGUACGUCGGGUCGGAGCGAACUGAACCGCCGCCGUUGUUGCGUUACGCUCCGGGAGUGUGCCUACGCGCGACGACAAUCGCGGCGGUCGGCCAUGUUGAAUUGUUG
This is a non-coding RNA of Cinara cedri, 428 nucleotides long. The record is from the annotation of a GenBank genome assembly. NCBI's taxonomy places the organism in Eukaryota, Metazoa, Arthropoda, Insecta, Hemiptera, Aphididae.